UGUGUCAAGUCUAUCGAUCAGAUG
This 24-nucleotide non-coding RNA is filed under the name Arabidopsis thaliana (thale cress). Lineage: Eukaryota; Viridiplantae; Streptophyta; Magnoliopsida; Brassicales; Brassicaceae. The record is from RNAcentral.